Molecule: long non-coding RNA, 1344 nt
Organism: Canis lupus familiaris (dog)
Lineage: Eukaryota; Metazoa; Chordata; Mammalia; Carnivora; Canidae
Exons: 2
Source: RefSeq, a predicted model, not a curated record
AAUUGGGAACAAAGAGGUCUGGGGAACAGAUACGUAGGUGGAUCCAUGGGAGUGGGCACCACAUAUGAAGAUCUUUGCAUCACACAUUAACAUCCACCAAGGAGCAUUCAAUGUAGAAAAGGCACAAAGCAGCCAAGUAUAGUUUGGCCAGUUGAUAUCAGUUCCAGUCUCUAUCAUUGUCCAUUGCAGUGAUAGCAUAAUGGGCUCAUGAAUGGACAUAGUGACAGGGCUAGAAGCUAUGCAUGGGCCCAACAGCAAGAGCUCCAACUCUCCAAGACUGAUCUUCUGCCAAAGCCAAAUGUCCAACUUGCCAGGCAUAUAAACCAAAGCCGAGUCCCCAUUCUGACACCAUUCUUAAGUGACCAAUGAGAUACUUCAUGAAAAGGAAGUUGGGGCCUGCCAAGUGGCCACUGCAGCAGUGGCUAGAUCAAGAAAUGAGUGAAGCCCAGAGGACCUGAAGUGGUGGAAGAAGAGUCUGGUACAGUCCGUUAUAGAUAAGCUCACCGUGCAUUAUUCUAAUUGGAGUAUCAGGACCCAAUGAUACAAUUGAGUAGGUUUGGGACAACUGGAAGCUACACACUCUGCAGAGGUCAGAAUUCAGAAAGCUUUACUUGAGAGGCCUCGAUAUCUGCUCAUGAGAACACAUCCCUCCCAGUACAUGCAGAUUUUUCAGAGAAGGUCCGCCAGAUUUUGACGGAAACUCUGCACAUGUGAGAAAGACACUCUCAGGAGCAGUUGUGCAACAUUCCUCACACUGUGUCCAGCUCCCUUCCUUACUCCCCACUUCCACCAGACCUGCCCCUCCAGGUGCCUUAGAUCCUCUAAGAGAGGUUUCUUACAACAGUGAUUCCAGAUACAGUGUAUAGGCCACCCCUGGCUGCAAGGGAGACCAGCAAAUGCCAUUUUCUAAUAUGGGAGGAUUGCUUCCUGGAAUAAAAUCAGUGUUGUAAGAUAUGAAUGAAGAAUGGAUAUUGGGUGACAGACUCAAGCUCACCAGCCUAAGGAGUACAGACCAUUUUCUUUGGCCAUGGAAGUUGGAGGAUUCUGCGGAGAGAGGAGAGGGGAUUGGGUCAAGGAGAUGAAAUGGCAGCGUAUGUGGGGAGCAAGUGGAGAGAGGAGAGCAUCGGGCAAUGCUGUGUGGAUGUGCAUAGAAAGGAAAGUGGACAAACACACUCCAACCAUUCACAGUCACCUGGGAAACUGAGGCAGCUGGAUGGCACUGUUUUAUGAAAUGUCCUCCCCGCAGCAGUUGAGGUAACAGACCUGACAUUUAACUGAAUGUCUUUGGAUAGAAUAUGAAGAGCCAAGUCAGCUGUCAUGUGAUUAACAAUCUUAUCUUUCAAU